GCAGCUUCCACAACCCACAUAUACUACAGCUUCUAUAUCGCGAUCGUUACUCCGGUGUACAGACCACGACCAGCCGGACCUUAAACUCUUCGAUUUCCACCAUGUCCUCCGCAACCUUACCCACAGCGACCUCCGGUCUUUAUCCCCACAACAAAUCAGUUUCCAAGCAACACAGGGUAUUCCCCAAACCCAAAUCAUUUUUAUUCUCAAAAUUUUCUUCCUCAACCUCAGCACACUUACCCUCCAUCCUUCACUCCCAGACCUAAUUUCCCAAAUAUUCCCUCAAUUUCUUCAACUUUUCCCCCAAAUUUUGCACCCAAAUAUUCCCUGAAGGUAUUUUAUAUGGUAUGGUCCCUGCUCCAUCAAGAUUCUUGGAUCCACAACAGUUGCAGCCUAAUCCUGAUUUUCUGGUAUGGGAAAGGUGAAGGCCCCAUGUCAACCCUGUUGGGAUAUCAUUUGCGCUUCCGAGGAAUCGAUGCUUCUGGAAAUUAGCCAAUAUUGAUUCAAGAAUUAAUAUCUAUAUACUUCUAACCAUUAUUUGUUGGUUUGUCUUGGAGGGAUACAGUUUUCUAGUGUUAU
Molecule: unclassified non-coding RNA, 579 nt
Filed under: Hevea brasiliensis (rubber tree)
Lineage: Eukaryota; Viridiplantae; Streptophyta; Magnoliopsida; Malpighiales; Euphorbiaceae
Source: RNAcentral